AUUGAACGCUGGCGGCAUGCCUUACACAUGCAAGUCGAACGGUAACAGGUCUUCGGACGCUGACGAGUGGCGAACGGGUGAGUAAUACAUCGGAACGUGCCCAGUCGUGGGGGAUAACUACUCGAAAGAGUAGCUAAUACCGCAUACGAUCUGAGGAUGAAAGCGGGGGACCUUCGGGCCUCGCGCGAUUGGAGCGGCCGAUGGCAGAUUAGGUAGUUGGUGGGAUAAAAGCUUACCAAGCCGACGAUCUGUAGCUGGUCUGAGAGGACGACCAGCCACACUGGGACUGAGACACGGCCCAGACUCCUACGGGAGGCAGCAGUGGGGAAUUUUGGGCAAUGGGCGAAAGCCUGAUCCAGCAAUGCCGCGUGCAGGAUGAAGGCCUUCGGGUUGUAAACUGCUUUUGUACGGAACGAAAAAGCUUCUCCUAAUACGAGAGGCC
This 442-nucleotide ribosomal RNA is filed under the name uncultured bacterium. Its description in RNAcentral is "bacterial SSU rRNA". It matches the Rfam family "Bacterial small subunit ribosomal RNA", at positions 30 to 468 of the family's 1533-position model. The record is from RNAcentral.